UACGGAGGGUGCGAGCGUUGUCCGGAAUCACUGGGCGUAAAGGGCGCGUAGGCGGCCUGAUAAGUAGGGGGUGAAAUCCUGCGGCUUAACCGCAGGGCUGCCUUCUAAACUGUCAGGCUAGAGCACGGUAGAGGCAGAUGGAAUUCCCGGUGUAGCGGUGAAAUGCGUAGAGAUCGGGAAGAACAUCGGUGGCGAAGGCGGCCAGCUGGGCCAUUGCUGACGCUGAUGCGCGACAGCGUGGGGAGCAAACAGG
RNAcentral lists this ribosomal RNA (253 nucleotides) under uncultured bacterium. RNAcentral's name for it is "partial 16S ribosomal RNA". It matches the Rfam family "Bacterial small subunit ribosomal RNA", at positions 524 to 776 of the family's 1533-position model. The record is from RNAcentral.